Molecule: long non-coding RNA, 477 nt
Organism: Gopherus evgoodei (Goodes thornscrub tortoise)
Lineage: Eukaryota; Metazoa; Chordata; Testudines; Testudinidae
Exons: 3
Source: RefSeq, a predicted model, not a curated record
GGCAGUUAUCGAUCCGAUUCUAGCGACGAACCCUCGGCAGGUAUCGGACCGAUUCUAGCGACGAACCCUCGGCAGGUAUCGGACCGAUUCUAACCGGCAGGUAUCGGACCGAUUCUAGCGACGAACCCUCGGCAGGUAAUCGGAUCGAUUCUAACGGCAGGUAUCGGACCGAUUCUAGCGACGAACCCUCGGCAGGUAUCGGACCGAUUCUAACGGCAGGUAUCGGACCGAUUCUAGCGACGAACCCUCGGCAGGUAUCGGACCGAUUCUAACCGGCAGGUAUCGGACCGAUUCUAGCGACGAACCCUCGGCAGGUAAUCGGAUCGAUUCUAACGGCAGGUAUCGGACCGAUUCUAGCGACGAACCCUCGGCAGGUAUCAGACCGAUUCUAACGGCAGGUAUCGGACCGAUUCUAGCGACAAACCCGCGGCAGGUAUCGGACCGAUUCUAGCGACAAACCCUCGACAGGUAUCGGAU